CUGGGCCCCGCCUCCCGAGGCCGGUGCGCGUGCGCGCGCGCGCGCGCGCGUCGCGGCCGGGGGACUCGCUUGUUUUCUCCUUUACUCUUUGCUGUUUUUUUCUUAUUCUCUUUUUUGGGGGCUUGAGUGUCGAGCGGAGCUGGAAAGGCUGGCAGGGUAUCAAAAACCCACAUCCACAAAUGCAUGGUGGGGGGAGAGAGAGAGAGGCUGGAGAACCGCCUCCCCCCGUGUUCACGCGUGGACUCGGCGCUGUUUACUGCUUGCUCGCUCGCCAGAGGCUGACAGCAGAGCUGAGCGCGGGUCUGUGUGGCUGAGAUGCCAGGUGCGGGGAAGUGACCGAAGGAGAUGUUUCCUGACAUCGUUGUGGGUGUUUUUUGUUUUUGUUUUUUUGACGUGUAAUAUCUAUAGGUGGCACAGCGAAAUGUAAAUAAAAGAACCUGUGACUGCGCUAAUCCCGUCCUAUAUGUAUUCUAAUUCUCCCUUCUCGCGAUAGAAUCACGUUUCUUUGGCUGCAGAAUGAAGACAUCAAAAUGUAAAAUAGAAAUAUUAAUGUUUACUUGAUGAAUAUGACCUUGACAUUUUAGUUCCCGGGGUUUGAUUUUGUUUUUGUGGGUCAGCUCCAUUCAGCUGUUACCACCAGCAGUCCAAAACCAAAUCAUACCAGCUCUAGAGGCAGAAAGAAUACUGCUGUUGCAAUUUUGCAAUCUCUUUCUCAAUGCAUGCUCCAGGUCACGGGUAUAUUAGCAGUGUUCAGUGUUGUUUUUCCUACAGGGCUGUUGUUUAGCACACUAAGCACGUUGUGUAGGGUUGCAAUUAAUCUUAGACCCUAUUAUAGGUUGCCGAACGUUUUCACCUCCUGGGGAAAAUGGUGCGUUAAAAAUGCAAAUCAUCAUUUAUACAGAACGGAUCAUCUAUUAAAAGAGUUCACCAUUGCAGAAGAACAGUUGCACCACUUUCAUCUUUGUUACCAGGAAGUAUGUUGUAUUUUUUACAAAUUGAAGGAAAGAUCCUCCAUCAGCAAGAAGAUUGCAACUUGCUUUAUUGCGAUACUUUAUUGAAGUGGUCUGGAACUGAAUUCACAGUAUCUCCAAGGACUUGGAAGGGGUUGACUAGAUAUGUUCUCUGUAUCUGGCUACUCUUAUACUGCUGUGUCAAAGAAGCACAACAGACCACUGAUAACAAGAGAGGAAUGCAAUCCUGCACUGUUGGCAAUCUUUGGGUAACUAAAGAUUCUCCUGGCUAUCAUCACUCAAAGAAGAGGUUUGACAGUCAAAUUUCCCAAUACUUUAGAAAUAUCUAUUUUUUUCACCUGUUAUAAUUUAUUGCAUAGAAAAAAAUCUGGAUGAAUAAACAUGUUAAUAGUGUGCAUACUCCAUAUUCAUUCUCCAAAGGAAUGAGAUCACUGGAGAGAGAGUUCCAUUUUAACUUUACACUCUUUGCAGUGUGUCCUCGCUGGUUGGGCUCAGUGGUUAGGGCUGAGGGGUUUCGGGUUCAAUUCAUGUCAAGGUCACGUACCUCGAUUGCAGGUCCUGG
Molecule: long non-coding RNA, 1533 nt
Organism: Myotis myotis
Lineage: Eukaryota; Metazoa; Chordata; Mammalia; Chiroptera; Vespertilionidae
Exons: 3
Source: RefSeq, a predicted model, not a curated record